CCUACGGGUGGCAGCAGUGAGGAAUAUUGGUCAAUGGGCGCGAGCCUGAACCAGCCAAGUCGCGUGAGGGAAGACGGUGCUAUGGAUUGUAAACCUCUUUUGUCGGGGAGCAAAAGACGCCACGCGUGGCGGACCGAGCGUACCCGAAGAAAAAGCAUCGGCCAACUCCGUGCCAGCAGCCGCGGUAAUACGGAGGAUGCGAGCGUUAUCCGGAUUUAGUGGGUGAAAAGGGGGCGUAGGCGGAAUGGCAAGUUGGGGGUAAAAGCUACGGGCUAAACCGGGGGCCGCACUUAAAACUGCAGUUCUUGAGGGAAGGAGAGGCAGGCGGAAUGCCGAGUGUAGCGGUGAAAUGCGUAGAUAUUAGGAGGAACACCAGUGGCGAAGGCGGCAUACUGGGCGUUUACUGACGCUGAGGCUCGAAAGUGUGGGUAGCAAACAGGAUUAGAUACCCCUGUAGUC
Molecule: ribosomal RNA, 459 nt
Filed under: uncultured bacterium
Lineage: Bacteria
Description: partial 16S ribosomal RNA
Rfam family: Bacterial small subunit ribosomal RNA
Source: RNAcentral